Molecule: ribosomal RNA, 427 nt
Filed under: uncultured bacterium
Lineage: Bacteria
Description: bacterial SSU rRNA
Rfam family: Bacterial small subunit ribosomal RNA
Source: RNAcentral
UAGGGAAUAUUGGACAAUGGGGGCAACCCUGAUCCAGCCAUGCCGCGUGAGUGAAGAAGGCCCUCGGGUUGUAAAGCUCUUUUGUCCGGAAAGAAAAGCAUUCGGUGAAUACCCGGAUGUUCUGACGGUACCGGAAGAAUAAGCACCGGCUAACUUCGUGCCAGCAGCCGCGGUAAUACGAAGGGUGCAAGCGUUACUCGGAAUUAUGGGGCGUAAAGCGUGCGUAGGUGGUUGUUUAAGUCUGAUGUGAAAGCCCUGGGCUCAACCUGGGAAUGGCAUUGGAAACUGGGCAGCUAGAGUGCGGUAGAGGGUAGUGGAAUUCCCGGUGUAGCAGUGAAAUGCGUAGAGAUCGGGAGGAACAUCUGUGGCGAAGGCGACUGCCUGGACCAGCACUGACACUGAGGCACGAAAGCGUGGGGAGCAAACA